Molecule: long non-coding RNA, 392 nt
Filed under: Physcomitrium patens
Lineage: Eukaryota; Viridiplantae; Streptophyta; Bryopsida; Funariales; Funariaceae
Description: long non-coding RNA (PPAT_LNC006166)
Source: RNAcentral
CAACCUGAAUAACAAAAUUAGCUCUUAGAUGAAUGAAGGCCAUAGACUUGGAUUAGAGAUCUUAUAGAUCAAGGAUAGAGAUGUGGCUGCCUUCCAUGAGCCUCUACUCACUUAUAUAAGAGGGUUUUGGUUGCCUAAGCUCGUAUUCUUUAGUUUUUUUUCUUUUAAUAAAGGAAGAAGUCAUGCUAAAUUUUAGCUUCAAUCCUAAUUUUAAUCUUAUUUGGAUUCUAGAUCUUAUUGUACACCUUGUGAAUGUGCGGGGACACUGAUUUUGUAUGUGGGUAGUGCUUGUUGUGAUUAGAAGGUAUUCUAUUGGAAUUAGUGGUUCUAAAACACUUCAAUAGUCAAAGAGGUUUGAAGGGCCUCAAAUUUUCCUCAAUCUGUCUAUGGUU